RNAcentral lists this ribosomal RNA (448 nucleotides) under uncultured bacterium. RNAcentral's name for it is "partial 16S ribosomal RNA". It matches the Rfam family "Bacterial small subunit ribosomal RNA", at positions 29 to 523 of the family's 1533-position model. The record is from RNAcentral.
AAUGAACGCUGGCGGCAGGCCUAACACAUGCAAGUCGAACGGAUCCUUCGGGAUUAGUGGCGGACGGGUGAGUAACGCGUGGGAACAUACCCUUUGGUACGGAGUAGCCUCGGGAAACUGGGAGUAAUACCGUAUGUGGUCGAGAGACGAAAGAUUUAUCGCCAAAGGAUUGGCCCGCGUUGGAUUAGGUAGUUGGUGGGGUAAUGGCCUACCAAGCCGACGAUCCAUAGCUGGUUUGAGAGGAUGAUCAGCACACUGGGACUGAGACACGGCCCAGACUCCUACGGGAGGCAGCAGUGGGGAAUCUUAGACAAUGGGGGAAACCCUGAUCUAGCCAUGCCGCGUGAUCGAUGAAGGCCUUAGGGUUGUAAAGAUCUUUCAGGUGGGAAGAUAAUGACUGUACCACCAGAAGAAGCCCCGGCUAACUCCGUGCCAGCAGCCGCAGUAA